This 71-nucleotide transfer RNA is filed under the name Marmota monax (woodchuck). RNAcentral describes it as "tRNA.Asp". Lineage: Eukaryota; Metazoa; Chordata; Mammalia; Rodentia; Sciuridae. The record is from RNAcentral.
GGGGAUGUAGCUUACUGGUAGAGCACUUGUCCAUCACACACAUGGCCUUGGGUUCAACCUCCAGCACUUCA